CGUAGGUGAACCUGCGAAGGUCAUUA
RNAcentral lists this ribosomal RNA (26 nucleotides) under Ganoderma lucidum. Its description in RNAcentral is "partial 18S ribosomal RNA". Lineage: Eukaryota; Fungi; Basidiomycota; Agaricomycetes; Polyporales; Polyporaceae. The record is from RNAcentral.